This 332-nucleotide unclassified non-coding RNA is filed under the name soil metagenome. Its description in RNAcentral is "partial contains 5.8S ribosomal RNA, internal transcribed spacer 2, and large subunit ribosomal RNA". The stretch from base 1 to 120 matches the Rfam family "5.8S ribosomal RNA", at positions 35 to 154 of the family's 154-position model. The record is from RNAcentral.
GAUGAAGAACGUAGCAAAAUGCGAUAAGUAAUGUGAAUUGCAGAAUUCAGUGAAUCAUCGAAUCUUUGAACGCACAUUGCGCCCGCCAGUAUUCUGGCGGGCAUGCCUGUUCGAGCGUCAUUUCAACCCUCAAGCACAGCUUGGUGUUGGGACUCGCGUUAAUUCGCGUUCCCCAAAUUGAUUGGCGGUCACGUCGAGCUUCCAUAGCGUAGUAGUAAAACCCUCGUUACUGGUAAUCGUCGCGGCCACGCCGUUAAACCCCAACUUCUGAAUGUUGACCUCGGAUCAGGUAGGAAUACCCGCUGAACUUAAGCAUCUCAAUAAGCGGAGGA